GCGGGGGAGAACACCCGGAAACAGAGGCUAAUACCGCAUAACAACUUGGACCGCAUGGUCCGAGUUUGAAAGAUGGCUUCGGCUAUCACUUUUGGAUGGUCCCGCGGCGUAUUAGCUAGAUGGUGGGGUAACGGCUCACCAUGGCAAUGAUACGUAGCCGACCUGAGAGGGUAAUCGGCCACAUUGGGACUGAGACACGGCCCAAACUCCUACGGGAGGCAGCAGUAGGGAAUCUUCCACAAUGGACGAAAGUCUGAUGGAGCAACGCCGCGUGAGUGAAGAAGGGUUUCGGCUCGUAAAACUCUGUUGUUAAAGAAGAACAUAUCUGAGAGUAACUGUUCAGGUAUUGACGGUAUUUAACCAGAAAGCCACGGCUAACUACGUGCCAGCAGCCGCGGUAAUACGUAGGUGGCAAGCGUUGUCCGGAUUUAUUGGGCGUAAAGCGAGCGCAGGCGGUUUUUUAAGUCUGAUGUGAAAGCCUUCGGCUCAACCGAAGAAGUGCAUCGGAAACUGGGAAACUUGAGUGCAGAAGAGGACAGUGGAACUCCAUGUGUAGCGGUGAAAUGCGUAGAUAUAUGGAAGAACACCAGUGGCGAAAGCGGCUGUCUGGUCUGUAACUGACGCUGAGGCUCGAAAGUAUGGGUAGCAACAGAUUAGAUACCCUGGUAGUCCAUACCGUAACGAUGAAUGCUAGUGUUGGAGGGUUUCGCCCUUCAGUGCUGCAGCUACGCAUAGCAUCCGCCUGGGGAGUACGCCGCAGCUGAACUCAA
RNAcentral lists this ribosomal RNA (770 nucleotides) under Lactiplantibacillus plantarum. RNAcentral describes it as "bacterial SSU rRNA". It matches the Rfam family "Bacterial small subunit ribosomal RNA", at positions 136 to 904 of the family's 1533-position model. Lineage: Bacteria; Bacillati; Bacillota; Bacilli; Lactobacillales; Lactobacillaceae. The record is from RNAcentral.